Molecule: transfer RNA, 65 nt
Filed under: Echinoecus nipponicus
Lineage: Eukaryota; Metazoa; Arthropoda; Malacostraca; Decapoda; Pilumnidae
Description: tRNA-Asp
Source: RNAcentral
AAAAAUUAGUUAAUUGUAUAACACUAGCUUGUCAUGCUUGAAUAAUCUUUAUUAGAUAUUUUUGA